This 303-nucleotide small RNA is filed under the name Vigna angularis var. angularis. Lineage: Eukaryota; Viridiplantae; Streptophyta; Magnoliopsida; Fabales; Fabaceae. The record is from RNAcentral.
CUUUUCUCUUUGUUUUCUUCAUGAACAUGUCCACCCCUAUAUGGUGAUAACUUCUUCUCCAUUCAUAGAUCACUAUGCUUCAAGAGAAGUUGCAGCAAAGAACUAUGGUUAGUGGUGGCAAUGAGGGGUAGAGGGGACCGGUUCAACGGGAUAUUGGUCCGGUUCAAUAAGAAAGCAAUGCUCAAAGAGUGUUAGGGUCCUGUUUUUUCAUUGAGCCGUGCCAAUAUCACGAGCCACUGCUCUUCACACCCCUGAAUGAUGCUUCUUCUCUUUGCACUCUUAGACAUGUAUGCAAUAUGCAGG